Molecule: non-coding RNA, 3311 nt
Organism: Oryzias latipes (Japanese medaka)
Lineage: Eukaryota; Metazoa; Chordata; Actinopteri; Beloniformes; Adrianichthyidae
Source: RefSeq, a predicted model, not a curated record
AAAUUAAAUUAAUAUUAUGUUAAUCUACAAAUUUUAGAAAGAUAAUUUAGGUUUUAACUGCUUUUUUGAAUUUUUUCUGGGUGAAAUUGUGUAAUUAAUGUGUCAUUUGGGCAAAUAACCUAAAGAAAUUUUGAGUUUUAUCAGAUAAAAUUGUGUUUAUGGUUUAUUUUCGUUAUCCGUCAAACCAAACAGUUAAAUUAAAUCUUUGUUGUCGUCGGACUCUGAACUUCCGGGUUCUGCACUUCCGGUUUCCUCCUCAUGUGAAAUAUGACACCAGAGCUCCAUCUAGCGGCAAAUGUCGGAACUGUUGUUGUUUUUGUUUUUUCACAGAAACAACAUGGCCGCCCCCGCGCGCCGGUGACGACUGCUAGCAAGAAAAAAAAACCGCCGGUCAUGAAGGAAAUCAGCUCCCCUGAAGACCGGAAGCAGUUCUUCCGGCUCCUUCUGCAGCUGGAGAAGAUCUCUGCGGGGAGGAGCUCCGGGAACGCCGCCGUUCUCCUCAACAGGCUGGAGAAGUUCCGAGUCACGGCGGAGGAGGUGGAAAUAACCGGCCUGGAGGAGGUUCUGCUCCGGCUGCUGAGGAGCAGCGAGGAGCUGAGCUUCAGGGAGAAGGUCCAGGGCUUGUUGAGGAGGUGGAGGAGCGGAGACAGAGGAGGGGUGGAGGAUCAGCUGAGCAGCACGGGUUCUCCUGGAGGUUCUGAGGAGGACGGUGUUCUAGCAGAUCCAGAACCCACAGCGGUGAAGGCUCCGGAGCCACAGUCCCCGGGGGAAGAACCGGGUCUCCAGAGUCCAGGAUCCACUGCAGAGAGGAGAUCUGCGUCCUUAGAAUCUGCCAGAACCAAAUGUGUCCAGCUCCUCCUCGCCGCCCUCCUCCCUGACCUCCCUGACCCCCCUGACCCAGAGCAGGCAGCAGAGCUGGCGGGAGCCAUCGAGGAGCACAUCCACCAGCUCCACAAACCCAACCAGCUCAGGUACAAGACCUGUGUGAGGAGCAAGGUGGCAAACCUGAGGAACCCCAAGAACCCGCACCUCCGCCGGGGGCUCCUGAGCGGCUCCCUGCUCCCCCAGGCCUUCGCCCGCAUGUCUGCCGAGGAGAUGGCCGGCCCCGAGCUGCGCAGGCUGCGGGAGGAGAUCUGCAGGCGGGGCGUGAACGAGAGGCAGCUCCCCCGGCUGGAGGAGGGGACGCCCACACGGGGGGUGCGGUGCCGCCGGUGCGGGGGGUCCGACUGCAGGGUGACGCAGGUGUCCAGGGGGGCGCUCUUCCUGCCCGCGUGGGUGAGGCGGGGGGGCCCCGGCGAGGACGCCAUGACCUUCGUGACCUGCAGCGUCUGCGGGCAGCAGUGGUACCACAGCCGCUGGAGCUGCCUGUAGCUCCAGGGGUCAAAGGUCAUCAGAGGAGGACAGAAGGUUCCUCAGACAGAACCAGUGACUCGCAUGAUUCAGCUUUUAUUUUGAAAUGAGGAAGGAAGCCGUUUGACCUUAAAUUUCCAAAUGUUCUUGUUGGUCCUCGAGCUUUCUCAUCUUCUCGGUUCCGUUGCAUCAUGGGAAACGGAGUCAGGAGACGUGUGACGGCUGAGGAUGAUGGUCAUGUGACUCCUCCUCCUCCUGAGGUGGUGACUCCACAUCGCUGUGAAAUCACAUGGAAGGAAUCUGAGGAAUGUCGGGGAAAGCGGGUUCUGUCUGGACCACAAAGGAGACCAGAACCAGAACCAGAACCAGACGUCACAUUUGGAGGAGGGGCUUCCUCGUCUUCAUGGAGGAGCGUCUGACAGUCCUCUUUCAUUCACAGAUUUUCUCCCCAAAGGGGGAACUUACAUGUGAAAUCUUUUCCAGAAAAGCAUCCGGUUCAGUUCAGAGAACCCAGAAUGAUGCUGUCUGUCCACAUUUUUAUGAACUUUAUCAUCAAAAAGGCUACAAACCUAGAAUAGAUGUAUUUAUAGUCAAUGUUGCACAUUUUCUCUGUUUAUUGGAGCUUUAUUGACACAUUUUAAUGAUCUCUGAUCACCAAAAAUCAUCUCGUUUUACUGACAUGUUUUAGCUUCUUUAAACGCUCCACUAAAAUAGACAUAUUUCUGCUUUUUUAAAGCGUAUUUUUGUAGUUUAUAUUAGUUCAGACGCAGUUCAGAAUAAAAUAUGAAGGAAUAAAAUAAUAUAUAUAUAUAAUUAAAAACAGUAUAAACAACUUUUACAGAACAUAUUCCCAAUAAAAGCGUAAAGUUUUACUACCACAUUUUAUUGAUUUUAUUGACUGACCUUUCAUUAUUUUCCAAUUGUAAUGGUAUUUUUCUGAACUACUGGAUGUAGCUCGUUAACUUCUACAUCUUUAACAUUUUUUAUUUAUUCUGUAUAUUUAUUGUAUUUUGCAUAUUUAUCCUUUUCUCUGAAGAUUUCAACAUAAAAAUAAAGCUUUUAUUGUUACAUAUUAAGCGGCAGUAAAACCUCUAUAGUUUUAAUUUGGUCAAAUUAUUUAUUAUGUGUGGUGGUGCUGACGUCAUCCCGGAGGGGGUGUGGCAGUCCAGUGGUCAUGUGACCGUCCGCGCUUGUUGGAGCCGCGAGGACUUUCUUCGGAGGAAGUCUCACCGGACGAGGUGGAUCCGCGGCGGGACGGACGUGAGGGUUUCUGAACGUUAGACGUCAUCGCCGAACUCCAGGACGAGCCACGUUCAUGACAGCAGCCGCACAGACCACAGCCCACUCGCGUGGUCGGCUUUCAGCUUUCUCUGAAUAAAGGCACAGAGUGAAGCACAUGACUGCGCGUGUGACUGCACGGCCGUCUGCGCAGUCAUCCCUUCAUUCCUGCCUCCGUUCUGCUGUGAGGAAAAUCUGCAGAGCGGCAACAAAGACGGCGUUCUUCUGCUUCUCUGCUGGGCGUUUCUGUUCAUGUGACGCCUCCGCCGCAUGACGCCUUCGGUCAGAAACCUGCGACCCUCAGGAAACCUUCACUGCAGACGCACAGACUUGUAUUUGCUGCAGACCGAUGGGCUUCAUAAAGCUGCAGGUCGUAACUGAGUCGUCUCAAAGUUCUCCGCUAAAGGCAAAACCUCACCGUCGGUGUUUGACUCCGUCUCAGUCCAGACGAUCCGAAUCCUAUGAGCAGAGGAACCUGCAGCAGAACCAGAAUCACGGAAAACGUUCAACCCAAAAGACCAACUUUUCACAGCCGUGGACUCAAUCUAGACCGAUAAAUGUGAAAUCCUUUAAAAUGUUUAACAAAGUAGUUCUGCUUCAGUAGAACUUCAUUCAAAUGACAUUUAACUGGAUAAAAGUUUUCAAAUCAAAACUGAAACAUAAAAAAUGACAAAAACCACCAA